RNAcentral lists this unclassified non-coding RNA (253 nucleotides) under uncultured Alphaproteobacteria bacterium. RNAcentral's name for it is "contains 16S-23S intergenic spacer region". It matches the Rfam family "Bacterial small subunit ribosomal RNA", at positions 524 to 776 of the family's 1533-position model. The record is from RNAcentral. Lineage: Bacteria; Pseudomonadati; Pseudomonadota; Alphaproteobacteria.
UACGGAGGGGGCUAGCGUUGUUCGGAAUUACUGGGCGUAAAGGGCACGUAGGCGGCGCAGCUAGUUAGAUGUGAAAGACCUGGGCUCAACCGAGGAAUUGCAUUUAAUACUGCUGUGCUAGAGUCCGAGAGAGGUGAGUGGAAUUCCCAGUGUAGAGGUGAAAUUCGUAGAUAUUGGGAAGAACACCAGUGGCGAAGGCGGCUCACUGGCUCGGUACUGACGCUGAGGUGCGAAAGCGUGGGGAGCAAACAGG